GAUAAGGUGGCUGAAGUUAGGUUAUAAAUUGUAAAUUUAUAUAUGAGGAAAUCUCUCUUAUCA
Molecule: transfer RNA, 63 nt
Filed under: Cyrtorhinus sp.
Lineage: Eukaryota; Metazoa; Arthropoda; Insecta; Hemiptera; Miridae
Description: tRNA-Tyr
Source: RNAcentral